AAGAGGAAAGGUCCUGGAAAGCAGCAGAAAUGGCASGGCAGCGUACAGUCUUUGGUCRAGGUCUGGAGAAGAACACAAAACUSUUUCCCCAAAGAUGUUAACGGCARAUAAACUUUGUGUCUUCCUGCAGAAGCAGUGCUCCAGAAACAUCACGGCUCUCACUUUUUGUAAGAAUAGAUGUGAAUGAGGACGUUCCUGUGGCUGAGCACGCUGACGGCAAACGGGAACGAAACAGCAUUCGGCGAUCUCUGCUGCACCGGCGACACCAGAGACAAAACAGCAAAACUGGGAUUGUCUCCUGGACUCGGUCCGUGGCUGCGACUCGGAGGAGCUGCACAGUCAAGGCAGCACGAGUCUUUCUCUGUGUGUAUAUGAUUUUUUUUUUUAAUAGCCAAGCAGUUAUCAUCAUAAUUAUAUUUGUAAUUCCAAGGGUGCAUUACCAUACUAAUGGAUGAUGACCACUCAACAGUCACAAGAAACAUUAAUUAAAACAGAAGUUCUCCCGUCCUAGCAGGGAGAGUGUUCCCUAAUCCCCAUUAUGGAAAUUGGUUAAGCCAAGAGAAUAUUUCCUUUAUAGUUUCAGCUCUUCAGAAAGCCUUUGAUGUCCUAAGCCAAAGCAACUACCCAUCAGGAACUGAGAGAUGUACUUCGGUCCCCCAUGCCAGCUUUUUACUUACUUCUGUCAUUUAAUUUCCCCCAUAAUACGGGGUAAAGUCUUAGCCARCAUCUUCAUUUUCAUUCAUUAGUGAAAUCAUCAUCAUAGUAAUACUUUGCACUUAUCUCUAUCCUAGGCACUUUGAAGGUGUCUGUCACUGUGUUAUGUAUACAUAAAGAACCCUCCAUCCAAAAAUGACCGAUCAGUAAAGUUUCCGAAUAUUGAAAAGGUCAAAGCACUACAGGACUCUGUUAUUAUCACUUAGAAAUAUAUGAGGCAUAAAAAUCAUAAUAGUGGGAAAGGUGUAAAAUGUGGCUGGCUCCCUCGAUAACGCCGGGGCUGUCGGUGUGAGCUCGGCUUUCCAUCCCUGCCCCAGGCUUCGCAGGCUCUCCUCGCUUUCUUUUGUUUUUCUUUCUUUUUUUUUUUUUUUUAGCUUAAGUAAGAGGUCAUUCUGUGUCGUACCAGAAGGUGCUUUGUUCAUCCAUUAUGGGGCCGUCCUUCACAGCUUUAAUCUGCAUAGGUAAGCUACAGGCCAAAAUAGUUUGAAAGCCAACAAAAAAUGUGCACAAAAAAAU
This 1230-nucleotide long non-coding RNA is filed under the name Dromaius novaehollandiae (emu). Its description in RNAcentral is "lncRNA (ENSDNVG00000000249.1)". Lineage: Eukaryota; Metazoa; Chordata; Aves; Casuariiformes; Dromaiidae. The record is from RNAcentral.